Molecule: ribosomal RNA, 225 nt
Filed under: Triticum aestivum (bread wheat)
Lineage: Eukaryota; Viridiplantae; Streptophyta; Magnoliopsida; Poales; Poaceae
Description: partial small subunit ribosomal RNA
Source: RNAcentral
AUGGCGAGCUCGUACGGGGCCGGGAAGGACAAGGAGGCGCGAAUCAACGGCGACAAUCGGCGGCAGAGGUUGAAGAAGGCGGUCGAUCCCGGGGGCUUGGAGGCGUCCUCGCUUGAGCUGGGGCUUACAAACGACAUGGUCGACAACGGGGAAGCGGACGAGCAAGUUCCUAGGGCGCGGGGAGCUCGGUGUGGGCAAAGACGACGAAAACCAUGGCGGCGGUGA